GGUCCCUAACGAUUGCGAACACCUGAAUGAAGCCAAAGGCGGGUCCGGAAGGCUUCAUUUGGUGACCCCGACGUGAUAGUUAGGGAAU
Regulatory RNA element from Callipepla squamata (scaled quail), 88 nucleotides. It matches the Rfam family "Rous sarcoma virus (RSV) primer binding site (PBS)". Rfam says of the family: This region is known to be required for the efficient initiation of reverse transcription. The record is from Rfam. NCBI's taxonomy places the organism in Eukaryota, Metazoa, Chordata, Aves, Galliformes, Odontophoridae.